CUAAGGUAGCGAAAUUCCUUGUCGGGUAAGUUCCGACCUGCACGAAUGGUGUAACCAUGGCCACGCUGUCUCCACCCGAGACUCAGUGAAAUUGAAAUCGCAGUGAAGAUGCUGUGUACCCGCACCUAGACGGAAAGACCCCGUGAACCUUUACUACAGCUUGGCACUGAACAUUGAACCUACAUGUGUAGGAUAGGUGGGAGGCUUCGAAGCACAGUCGCUAGAUUGUGUGGAGCCGUCCUUGAAAUACCACCCUUGUAUGUUUGAUGUUCUAACAUUGGUCCCUUAUCGGGAUUAUGGACAGUGUCUGGUGGGUAGUUUGACUGGGGCGGUCUCCUCCCAAAUAGUAACGGAGGAGCACGAAGGUUAGCUAAUCACGGUCGGACAUCGUGAGGUUAGUGCAAUGGCAUAAGCUAGCUUAACUGCGAGACAGACACGUCGAGCAGGUACGAAAGUAGGUCAUAGUGAUCCGGUGGUUCUGUAUGGAAGGGCCAUCGCUCAACGGAUAAAAGGUACUCCGGGGAUAACAGGCUGAUACCGCCCAAGAGUUCAUAUCGACGGCGGUGUUUGGCACCUCGAUGUCGGCUCAUCACAUCCUGGGGCUGAAGUCGGUCCCAAGGGUAUGGCUGUUCGCCAUUUAAAGUGGUACGCGAGCUGGGUUUAGAACGUCGUGAGACAGUUCGGUCCCUAUCUGGUGUGGGCGUUGGAUGAUUGAGGGGAGCUGCUCCUAGUACGAGAGGACCGGAGUGGACGAACCGCUGGUGUUCGGGUUGUUAUGCCAAUAGCAUUGCCCGGUAGCUACGUUCGGAAUCGAUAACCGCUGAAAGCAUCUAAGCGGGAAGCGAGCCCCAAGAUGAGUCAUCCCUGGCAGUUUAACUGUCCUAAAGGGUUGUUGAAGACUACGACGUUGAUAGGCAGGAUGUGGAAGCGUUGCAAGGCGUUAAGCUAACCUGUACUAAUUGCCCGUGAGGCUUAACCAU
This 980-nucleotide ribosomal RNA is filed under the name seawater metagenome. Its description in RNAcentral is "bacterial LSU rRNA". It matches the Rfam family "Bacterial large subunit ribosomal RNA", at positions 1951 to 2925 of the family's 2925-position model. The record is from RNAcentral.